Molecule: long non-coding RNA, 852 nt
Filed under: Salmo salar (Atlantic salmon)
Lineage: Eukaryota; Metazoa; Chordata; Actinopteri; Salmoniformes; Salmonidae
Description: lncRNA (ENSSSAG00000097819.1)
Source: RNAcentral
GCAGGGGCUGUCAUAGUGGUGUCUACAGUUACAGUGGCAGGGGCUGCAGUAGUGGUGGCAGUGGCUGCUGUUGUGGUGGCAGGGGUUGUCUUAGCAGUGUCUGCAGUUGUGGUGGUAGCGGCUGUUGUCGUAGUGGCAGCUGCAGUUGUGGUUGAAGCUGCUGCUCUUGUGGUACCAGCUGGAGUUGUGGUGGCAGUUGCUACUGUUGUAGUGGCUGCUGUAGUUGAAGUGGCGGCUACAGUUGUGGUGGUGGCGGCUGCUGUUGCUGUGGUUGCAGGGGCUGUUGUAUAUAUGGCUGCAGUUGUGGUGGCAGGGGCUGUCGUAGGGACGUCUGCAGUUACGGUGGCAGGGGCUGCAGUAGUGGUAGCAGUGGCUGCUGUCGAGGUGGCAGGGGUUGUCUUAUUGGUGUCUGAAGUUGUGGUGGUAGCGGCUGUUAUCAUAGUGGCAGGGGUUGUCUUAUUGGUGUCUGAAGUUGUGGUGGUAGCGGCUGUUAUCAUAGUGGCAGCUGCAGUUGAUGUAGCAGCUGCACUUGUGGUUGCAAUGGCUGCUGUUCUUGUAGCGGCUAAAGAGUUGGUGGCAUGGGCUGUCUUAGUGGUGUCUCCAGUUGUGGUGGCAGGGGCUGUCGUAGUGGCGUCCUUAGUUAUGGUGGCAGGGGCUGCAGUAGUGGUGUCAGCUGCAGUUGUGGUGGUAGCGGCUGUUAUCAUAGGGGCAGCUGUCGUAGCAUAUGCACUUGUAUUUGCAGUGGCUGCUGUUGUGGUAGCGGCUAAAGUUGUGGUGGCAGGGGGUGUUGUCGAAGUGGCAGCUGUCGUAGUGGCGGCUGCAGUUGUGGUUGCAGCUCUUGUGGUACCAGCU